UUUAUAGAGGGAGCAGUCGAGAGAGGAGAGAAGGGCAGGGGGAGGAGAAGGGGUACGGCGGCGGCGGCGGUGGUGAAAGAGGGAGGGAGGACCGGCGGAGCAGAGGAGGUGGAGGCGGAGGUGGGGGAGGAGGAGGGAACGGAAGCGUGGCCGAUCGUGCCGGGCUGGUGCGCAACACCUGCUCCUCCGGUGUCGAGCCCUACGUUCGUUCUCCUUGGUCCGCCAAGAGGAAGGUACCGUCGCGGGCCUGAGCUCGGCUUCGGCUCCUCGCGCCGAAACUAGGUCCGAGCUGUCCUCCUCAUCUCGUCGUCGGUGCGUGUGGUCGGCUGCCCGGACAGGAGGAGACGCGGAGGAGAGUGCAUGGGAGCCGCCGGCGGAGGAGCAGGAGACUGACGACGGCGUACCACCUCUGCCGCAUCUGCCCGAUCCGUCCGGUGUUACCGACCAGCUCGUGGGUGGGGCCGCUGGAGGACGUCUCCUCCUCUCCAGCUCAUGUCUAGGUCAAGUACCUCCUCUACGGUCGUGUCCCAGUUAGUCAGAGAACAAGCAGGAAACCUACCAAGCGACGAGCGUCUCCAAUAAACGAGUAAGAGACGAGCAGAUACAGCAGUCGCUCUUCCAAUAAAGCACACGAACCUCAAACACCCACGAAAUGGAGGAAAAAUAGCAGAACAGCAAACGAAGAAAUGGACGGGUCUAGGACUACAACAACAGAAGUUAACGAAACGUCAGAUUGUGAUAAUCGAGAGGUCAAGAAGCAGAACGACAGUUCGUUUAGUGAUAGUUUCUCUUCCUCCACCUAUGUAAUACCUUAGACUGUAAUAGGGACAAUCACGAUUAUCUAGGUUCGUGCGUUUCUUUGUUUGCUAAAAUGUCUGGCCUAUGGUAUCGCUUUAGUUGUUUCUUCAACGUCACCACCUCCUAUAUAAGAGGCAGUACUCACCUACGUUACCGCCUCCUGUUUUUUUCUCCACCCCACCUCGAACUCGAAGGAUGCUUACCACAGAGAGACGACGGUCUAUCCUCCGAGAAGACCCCUCAACCACCGUGUCCCCGUGAACGACGGAUACUUGUCCGUCGAAACGUCCGAUAUUUUAAGAAUGUCCCUAACAUACCCAAAUACUAGUCUCUGAUAUUAAAGGUAACACAAACAGAUAUGCCUGAGCCAUCGAAGACGCCAACGAUAACGGCGCAGACGACACUUCAUAUGCCGAUUUGACCUCUUCCUGGCACGGGCAGACGAGGAAAGCACACGAUCGCACCAAGGAGAGAGGUCACCAUUGACGGACGUCCGUGUCGAAUGGGACAGCUAGGGUAGAACGAGUACACGGAGGAGGGCGCAGCUAGAUGAAGUGAUCCAGGAGGAGUGGGGAGUGUACGGGACGGUCCUCGCCGCCACGUUGUCGCUGCUACGACGUGCUCUAGUUUGGUCUCCUUACACUAGGUGUAAACAGAAACGAAGGUACAGGUGCCCUCUUUUAACGACUUGUAAAACAGUAGGGGUCUAAAGGAGGGGUGCCAUACCAGAAACGUACUCUUCGUGUCUACCCGUACGGCUGUACCUGGUAUAGUCCAGUAACGGGAUAAGAAAGGUGUAAAAAAUACAGUAUAAAGUUUAAAAGUUAAGUAAACAAAAGGUAUAACGAGUACAAGUAUCGUAAAGACAACCCGUGAAUAGGCAACUAUUAAAUAGUAAGGAGAUAAUUAAUUACUAGAGUAGCGUAGCGUCAUCGUGUGACUCGAGAUACAACAAAACAGGACAAAAGAGGUUCCAGGAAACGUCCAAGGAACCCAUUUCGAACGACUAACAGUUACACUAAUCUCCCGGUCACCAGCUUACUACGUAAAGGAUAUCCAGAUAGGUCACCUCUACCGCAGUGGACGGCCUCUUCGCUCCCCCGAUAGGGAGCUUCCCCGCCACACUACCGCCACCAUCUGUGGGGUCCAACACGGGUAGCUGCGUCGUCCGUCACACACCCACUUGAAGAUAUUCAAAGAGUUGGCGUCCGGCUUGGUGGCGAGCUUUCGGCGGUAGGAGAAGGUGAGGUAGUUGUCCUGUUGCAGAGGACGCAAGAGCUAGGCCGCGGUGGUGUAUAGCACUAAGAACUAGCCCGUGUCCGGCGGCGGUAUUCUCUCGAAGAGACCACACCAGAAGUACGAACCAGACCUCUUCGUCCCCUCCUACUCAUCCUGCCCGUACCCCUUCCUCGUCGGUCCGGCCUCGAGGCCGUAGCGAGCGCAGUACCAGCUUACCUCGGCCGGUAGAGAUACCCGACGACGAGCGGCCAGCAGCAAGGGGUUAGUCUCAACGAGUAGAAACCGAAGUGGUAGAAGGAGGGGACUAGUACGUAGAUAAAAUCUAGUAUAUUAAUACGAUAUAGUAUAUACAACAAAUCAACUCUGAACACGUACGUAACCGUAACUAAAUCUGUCUCUAUAACGUACUAAACAUGUAUUUUCCUCAUGCCUACUAGAUUCUUAUUUACGAGCUUAUUUCAAUCAUCACUCUAAAUCCAUCUCCAAUGGACGUGACAAGACAAAAUACAUCUAAGAUUCUACGUUUUAGUAUGUACCAGGACAAUCAUCAAACAAACUCAACACUCAAAUGCGUAAAAGGGAACCUUACAAACAUACACACUAGUGAACGAAAAUCCAAGGGUC
Molecule: ribosomal RNA, 2661 nt
Filed under: Triticum aestivum (bread wheat)
Lineage: Eukaryota; Viridiplantae; Streptophyta; Magnoliopsida; Poales; Poaceae
Description: partial small subunit ribosomal RNA
Source: RNAcentral